RNAcentral lists this ribosomal RNA (484 nucleotides) under uncultured bacterium. RNAcentral's name for it is "partial 16S ribosomal RNA". It matches the Rfam family "Bacterial small subunit ribosomal RNA", at positions 30 to 507 of the family's 1533-position model. The record is from RNAcentral.
AUUGAACGCUGGCGGCAUGCUUUACACAUGCAAGUCGAACGGCAGCGCGGGCUUCGGCCUGGCUGCGAGUGGCGAACGGGUGAGUAAUACAUCGGAACGUGCCCAGUUGUGGGGGAUAGCUCGGCGAAAGCCGGAUUAAUACCGCAUACGACCUGAGGUUGAAAGCGGGGGAUCUUCGGACCUCGCGCUAUUGUAUCUGCCUAUUGCAGAUUAGCUAGUUGGUUGGGUAAAGGCCUACCAAGGCGACGAUCUGUAGCUGGCCUGAGAGGACGACCAGCCACACUGGGACUGAGACACGGCCCAGACUCCUACGGGAGGCAGCAGUGGGGAAUAUUGGACAAUGGGCGAAAGCCUGAUCAAGCAAUGCCGCGUGUGUGAUGAAGGCCUUCGGGUUGUAAAGCACUUUUGGCGGGAACGAAAAGGACUGUGCCAAUACCACGGUUCGAUGACGGUACCCGAAGAAUAAGCACCGGCUAACUACGUG